GAUGAACGCUGGCGGCGUGCCUAAUACAUGCAAGUCGAGCGAACAGAUGAGGAGCUUGCUCCUCUGACGUUAGCGGCGGACGGGUGAGUAACACGUGGAUAACCUACCUAUAAGACUGGGAUAACUUCGGGAAACCGGAGCUAAUACCGGAUAAUAUAUUGAACCGCAUGGUUCAAUAGUGAAAGACGGUUUUGCUGUCACUUAUAGAUGGAUCCGCGCCGCAUUAGCUAGUUGGUAAGGUAACGGCUUACCAAGGCAACGAUGCGUAGCCGACCUGAGAGGGUGAUCGGCCACACUGGAACUGAGACACGGUCCACACUCCUACGGGAGGCAGCAGUAGGGAAUCUUCCGCAAUGGGCGAAAGCCUGACGGAGCAACGCCGCGUGAGUGAUGAAGGUCUUCGGAUCGUAAAACUCUGUUAUUAGGGAAGAACAAAUGUGUAAGUAACUAUGCACGUCUUGACGGUACCUAAUCAGAAAGCCACGGCUAACUACGUG
This 497-nucleotide ribosomal RNA is filed under the name uncultured bacterium. RNAcentral describes it as "partial 16S ribosomal RNA". It matches the Rfam family "Bacterial small subunit ribosomal RNA", at positions 28 to 507 of the family's 1533-position model. The record is from RNAcentral.